This 253-nucleotide ribosomal RNA is filed under the name uncultured bacterium. RNAcentral's name for it is "partial 16S ribosomal RNA". It matches the Rfam family "Bacterial small subunit ribosomal RNA", at positions 524 to 776 of the family's 1533-position model. The record is from RNAcentral.
UACGUAGGGUGCAAGCGUUAAUCGGAAUUACUGGGCGUAAAGCGUGCGCAGGCGGUGAUGUAAGACAGGUGUGAAAUCCCCGGGCUUAACCUGGGAACUGCAUUUGUGACUGCAUCGCUGGAGUGCGGCAGAGGGGGAUGGAAUUCCGCGUGUAGCAGUGAAAUGCGUAGAGAUGUGGAGGAACACCGAUGGCGAAGGCAGCCCCCUGGGUCAAAACUGACGCUCAUGCACGAAAGCGUGGGGAGCAAACAGG